Molecule: ribosomal RNA, 253 nt
Filed under: uncultured bacterium
Lineage: Bacteria
Description: partial 16S ribosomal RNA
Rfam family: Bacterial small subunit ribosomal RNA
Source: RNAcentral
UACGUAGGGGGCAAGCGUUGUCCGGAUUUAUUGGGUUUAAAGGGUGCGUAGGCGGUCUAUUAAGUCAGCGGUGAAAUACUCCAGCUUAACUGGAGGGGUGCCAUUGAUACUGAUGGACUUGAGUCAAGUCGAGGUAGGCGGAAUUGACGGUGUAGCGGUGAAAUGCUUAGAUAUCGUCAAGAACACCAAUAGUGAAGACAGCUUACUGGGCUUAAACUGACGCUGAGGCACGAAAGUGUGGGGAGCAAACAGG